Molecule: ribosomal RNA, 496 nt
Filed under: uncultured bacterium
Lineage: Bacteria
Description: partial 16S ribosomal RNA
Rfam family: Bacterial small subunit ribosomal RNA
Source: RNAcentral
GAUGAACGCUGGCGGCGUGCCUAAUACAUGCAAGUCGAGCGAACAGACGAGGAGCUUGCUCCUCUGACGUUAGCGGCGGACGGGUGAGUAACACGUGGAUAACCUACCUAUAAGACUGGGAUAACUUCGGGAAACCGGAGCUAAUACCGGAUAAUAUAUUGAACCGCAUGGUUCAAUAGUGAAAGACGGUUUUGCUGUCACUUAUAGAUGGAUCCGCGCCGCAUUAGCUAGUUGGUAAGGUAACGGCUUACCAAGGCGACGAUGCGUAGCCGACCUGAGAGGGGGAGCGGCCACACGGGAACGGAGACAGGGCCCAGACUCCGAAGGGGGGCAGGAGGAGGGAAUCUUCCGCAAGGGGCGAAACCCUGAAGGAGCAACGCCGGGGGAGUGAUGAAGGUUUUCGGAUCGAAAAACCCUUUUAUUAGGAAAAAAAAAAUGGGAAAGUAAAUAUGCACGUUUUGACGGUACCUAAUCAGAAAGCCACGGAUAACUACGG